This 405-nucleotide long non-coding RNA is filed under the name Panax ginseng (ginseng). RNAcentral describes it as "long non-coding RNA (PGIN_LNC019263)". The record is from RNAcentral. Lineage: Eukaryota; Viridiplantae; Streptophyta; Magnoliopsida; Apiales; Araliaceae.
GGCCCCAUAAUGGAAAGCGAUUGGAGGAAGAAAACGACAAAUAUAAGUUGUUUAAAAAUAACGGCGUAGUUGUUACCGUUUACACUGUUGGAAUACCCGGUGGUUAAAAUACAGUAAUAUGCGUGGUUGCACAGUAGCACACGGUAUUGCACAGUAUUGUUGAAUUAUUGAUCCUUACGUAAGAAGGCACUACUCAAUAAUUGUUACAGUAGUUACUGUUCAAUAUUAUAUUGAUUCAAUAAUUGCUGCGUUGAUAUUUGGUAUCACUGUUGUUUCAAUAAUUGUCAUUACACAGUAUUUUCCAUUAUCAAAUCAAUAAUUCAUAUUAUUUGAAUAAUAUUAUCAGAUAACAUUAUUGGCAAUGUCUAGAAAGUUCUGUCUAAGGAGAGGUUUGGUCACCUAAUU